This 430-nucleotide unclassified non-coding RNA is filed under the name fungal sp. Its description in RNAcentral is "partial internal transcribed spacer region". The stretch from base 1 to 46 matches the Rfam family "Eukaryotic small subunit ribosomal RNA", at positions 1786 to 1831 of the family's 1831-position model. Lineage: Eukaryota; Fungi. The record is from RNAcentral.
AAGUCGUAACAAGGUUUCCGUAGGUGAACCUGCGGAAGGAUCAUUACAACGUAUCCAACGUAAACAAACGCGAACUUCCCUUUGGGUCACAGGACCAAAUGCAGGCCGCUGCUUUGGUUAUGAGGUUAGUUAGGCUGAACUGUUAACAGAGUGUUCCGUUGAUGGAGGUGUCUGGAGAAGUCCAGUCGCCUGGAGCACCAGUUCUUGGCCCGGAUCAGUUCUUCGCGAACGUGUCCGAACUUCGCCUGUCCCAAAGUGUAUCAACCAUCAGAUCUUAUUGUACCCUUUAUUAACCCUGUAAACUUUUGAACUGAACUCUGAGAGCAGUGCGGCAGUCGUUGUUGGCUUCGGUCACGGAUCGCUUAACGCAUUGUCUUUCUAAACUUUACGUAAUUAAGAACAGCUCUUAACAACGGAUAUCUUGGCUCUC